RNAcentral lists this ribosomal RNA (269 nucleotides) under uncultured bacterium. RNAcentral's name for it is "partial 16S ribosomal RNA". It matches the Rfam family "Bacterial small subunit ribosomal RNA", at positions 334 to 618 of the family's 1533-position model. The record is from RNAcentral.
UAUUCCUACGGGGCGCAGCAGUGGGGGAUAUUGCACAAUGGGGGAAACCCUGAUGCAGCGACGCCGCGUGAGUGAAGAAGCAUUUCGGUGUGUAAAGCUCUAUCAGCAGGGAAGAAGAAAUGACGGUACCUGACUAAGAAGCCCCGGCUAAAUACGUGCCAGCAGCCGCGGUAAUACGUAGGGGGCAAGCGAUAUCCGGAUUUACUGGGUGUAAAGGGAGCGGAGACGGCAAUGCAAGUCGGAUGUGAAAACCCAGGGCUCAACCGUGG